GAGUUUGAUCCUGGCUCAGGAUGAACGUUAGCUACAGGCUUAACACAUGCAAGUCGCGGGGCAGCAUGGGGGUUGCUUGCAACCCCUGAUGGCGACCGGCGCACGGGUGAGUAACGCGUAUCCAACCUGCCCUUCACCACGGGAUAACCCGGCGAAAGUCGGACCAAUACCGUAUGUUGUCCAUUGGCGGCAUCCGAUUUGGACGAAAGGCUUAGCGGUGAGGGAUAGGGAUGCGUCCGAUUAGCUUGACGGCGGGGUAACGGCCCACCGUGGCUACGAUCGGUAGGGGUUCUGAGAGGAAGGUCCCCCACACUGGAACUGAGACACGGUCCAGACUCCUACGGGAGGCAGCAGUGAGGAAUAUUGGUCAAUGGGCGGAAGCCUGAACCAGCUUUUUAGCGUGCAGGAUGACGGCCCUAUGUGUUGGAAGCUGCUUUUACGCGCGG
Molecule: ribosomal RNA, 446 nt
Filed under: uncultured bacterium
Lineage: Bacteria
Description: bacterial SSU rRNA
Rfam family: Bacterial small subunit ribosomal RNA
Source: RNAcentral